RNAcentral lists this ribosomal RNA (302 nucleotides) under uncultured bacterium. RNAcentral describes it as "partial 16S ribosomal RNA". It matches the Rfam family "Bacterial small subunit ribosomal RNA", at positions 508 to 809 of the family's 1533-position model. The record is from RNAcentral.
GCAGUCGCCGCGGUAAUACGUAGGUGGCAAGCGUUGUCCGGAAUUAUUGGGCGUAAAGGGCUCGCAGGCGGUUUCUUAAGUCUGAUGUGAAAGCCCCCGGCUCAACCGGGGAGGGUCAUUGGAAACUGGGAAACUUGAGUGCAGAAGAGGAGAGUGGAAUUCCACGUGUAGUGGUGAAAUGCGUAGAGAUGUGGAGGAACACCAGUGGCGAAGGCGACUCUCUGGUCUGUAACUGGCGCUGAGGAGCGAAAGCGUGGGGAGCGAACAGGAUUAGAUACCCCAGUAGUCCCUGUCUCUUAUAA